UGGCUCAGGAUGAACGCUGGCGGCGUGCUUAACACAUGCAAGUCGAACGAUGAAGCCCAGCUUGCUGGGUGGAUUAGUGGCGAACGGGUGAGUAACACGUGAGUAACCUGCCCUUAACUCUGGGAUAAGCCUGGGAAACUGGGUCUAAUACCGGAUAGGAGCGUCCACCGCAUGGUGGGUGUUGGAAAGAUUUAUCGGUUUUGGAUGGACUCGCGGCCUAUCAGCUUGUUGGUGAGGUAAUGGCUCACCAAGGCGACGACGGGUAGCCGGCCUGAGAGGGUGACCGGCCACACUGGGACUGAGACACGGCCCAGACUCCUACGGGAGGCAGCAGUGGGGAAUAUUGCACAAUGGGCGCAAGCCUGAUGCAGCGACGCCGCGUGAGGGAUGACGGCCUUCGGGUUGUAAACCUCUUUCAGUAGGGAAGAAGCGAAAGUGACGGUACCUGCAGAAGAAGCACCGGCUAACUACGUGCCAGCAGCCGCGGUAAUACGUAGGGUGCGAGCGUUAUCCGGAAUUAUUGGGCGUAAAGAGCUCGUAGGCGGUUUGUCGCGUCUGUCGUGAAAGUCCGGGGCUUAACCCCGGAUCUGCGGUGGGUACGGGCAGACUAGAGUGCAGUAGGGGAGACUGGAAUUCCUGGUGUAGCGGUGGAAUGCGCAGAUAUCAGGAGGAACACCGAUGGCGAAGGCAGGUCUCUGGGCUGUAACUGACGCUGAGGAGCGAAAGCAUGGGGAGCGAACAGGAUUAGAUACCCUGGUAGUCCAUGCCGUAAACGUUGGGCACUAGGUGUGGGGACCAUUCCACGGUUUCCGCGCCGCAGCUAACGCAUUAAGUGCCCCGCCUGGGGAGUACGGCCGCAAGGCUAAAACUCAAAGGAAUUGACGGGGGCCCGCACAAGCGGCGGAGCAUGCGGAUUAAUUCGAUGCAACGCGAAGAACCUUACCAAGGCUUGACAUGUUCUCGAUCGCCGUAGAGAUACGGUUUCCCCUUUGGGGCGGGUUCACAGGUGGUGCAUGGUUGUCGUCAGCUCGUGUCGUGAGAUGUUGGGUUAAGUCCCGCAACGAGCGCAACCCUCGUUCCAUGUUGCCAGCACGUCGUGGUGGGGACUCAUGGGAGACUGCCGGGGUCAACUC
This 1133-nucleotide ribosomal RNA is filed under the name Micrococcus sp. S2347. RNAcentral describes it as "bacterial SSU rRNA". It matches the Rfam family "Bacterial small subunit ribosomal RNA", at positions 20 to 1164 of the family's 1533-position model. The record is from RNAcentral. Lineage: Bacteria; Bacillati; Actinomycetota; Actinomycetes; Micrococcales; Micrococcaceae.